Long non-coding RNA from Anser brachyrhynchus (Pink-footed goose), 1249 nucleotides. The record is from Ensembl. Lineage: Eukaryota; Metazoa; Chordata; Aves; Anseriformes; Anatidae.
GACGGAUGAGGAGUUCUACAGGCAGCUGGCAGAAGCCACGAAAUCGUCAGCGCUUGUUCUCGUGGGGGACUUCAACUUCCCAGACAUACCCUGAAAGCACAACACAGCCAAGAGAAAGCAGUCUAGGAGGUUUCUGGAGAGCGUGGAAGAUAGCUUCCUGACGCAGCUGGUUAGAGAGCCUACCAGGGGAGGUGCCCCACUAGACCUUCUGUUCACAAACAGUGACGGACUGGUGGGAGAUGUGGUGGUUGGGAGCUGUCUUGGGCAGAGUGACCACGAAAUGGUUCAGUUCUCUAUUCUUGGCGAAGUCAGGAAGGGGACGAGUAAAACCGCUGUCUUGGACUUCCAGAGGGCUGACUUUGAGCUGUUCAGGACACUAGUUGGCAGAGUCCCUUGGGAGGAGGUUCUGAAGGGCAAAGGAGUCCAGGAAGGUUGGGCACUCUUCAGGAAGGAAAUCUUAAUGGCUCAGGAGCGGUCUGUCCCCACGUGCCCAAAGACGAGCCGACACGGAACUAGACCGGCCUGGCUGAACAGAGAGUUGUGGCUCGAGCUUAGGAGAAAAAAGAGGGUUUAUAAUCUUUGGAAAAGAGGGUGGGCUACCCAAGAGGACUUUAAGGUUGUUGCGAGGCUGUGCAGGGACAAAAUUAGAAAGGCCAAAGCUCAUCUGGAGCUCAAUCUGGCUACUGCCGUUAAAGAUAACAAAAAACGUUUUUACAAAUAUAUCAACACAAAAAGGAGGACUAAGGAGAAUCUCCAUCCUUUACUGGAUGCGGGGGGAAACUUAGUUACAAAAGAUGAGGAAAAGGCUGAGGUGCUCAAUGCCUUCUUUGCCUCAGUCUUUAGCGCCAAGACCAGUUGUUCUCUGGAUACCCAGUACCCUGAGCUGGUGGAAGGGGAUGGGGAACAGGAUGUGGCCCUCACUAUCCAUGAGGAAAUGGUUGAUGACCUGCUACAGCACUUGGAUGUACGCAAGUCGAUGGGGCCGGAUAGGAUCCACCCGAGGGUACUGAAAGAACUGGCGGAGGAGCUGGCCAAGCCGCUUUCCAUCAUUUAUCGGCAGUCCUGGCUAUCAGGGGAGGUCCCAGUCGACUGGCGGCUAGCAAACGUGACGCCCAUCUACAAGAAGGGCCAGAGGGUAGACCCGGGGAACUAUAGGCCUGUUAGCUUAACCUCAGUGCCAGGGAAGCUCAUGGAGCAGAUUAUCUUGAGUGUCAUCACACGGCACUUGCAGGGCAACCAGGCAAUCAGG